This is a non-coding RNA of Pelobates cultripes (western spadefoot toad), 1316 nucleotides long. The record is from the annotation of a GenBank genome assembly. Lineage: Eukaryota; Metazoa; Chordata; Amphibia; Anura; Pelobatidae.
AAGAGACCUGCAGCAUGAAGAUGUGGAAAGCUGUGAGAGACAGCUGUAGGUAAGUAAAACUUGCCUCCCCUGUAAUGCACAGCCACCAAACCCAAACCAGAUCUGUCCAUUUCAGGGAACUCUGAGAAAUAUGCAGAGACCUCCAAAAUUCUCAUAUCCACUUUAAGCUUCAGCACAUGAACACCAGCACACAUUGCAAUAGAGGAAAAAGAGAAGCAGUGAGUGUUAUUGUUUCUCCUCCCUCUCUUAUGUCAGGCGCAAAUGGCAGAAUGUAUAAUAGUGCUUGACAAGGGACCUAGGUGAAGAGGUGUUAAAAAUUGAGUCUGGACAUUUUCAGAUUUGUUGCUUGAUUUCUGCAGAAGAAUGUGCACUCCAGGGGAAAGACUUACAUAAGUUGUGUUCAGAAGUUGGGGUAGUUAUCAUGAAUGCACUAAAACAUACUGUGUGUGACAGCUAUCUUUAAGGAGAAACAAGCAACUUCUGCCCACGCGUUGACCCUUUUAAUGGGUUAAAAAGUGAAUGCAUAGUAGGGUAGGUCAGCCCUUUUUCUAGCUCACACGAGAGAGUAAAAUGGUAUGUCUGUAUCAUUUGGAUGAUCCCUGUUGAUGCUUUGGGUUAGACUUGUAUUCCGUUAGUAAAUUUAGUCCUAACCCCAGCCUGUGUGCCCUGUUAGAACAUUGUUGUUGAAUUUCAGUAUCCAAAGCUACCCAUAAUACAAGUCCUCUAAACACAACACGUGCACCCCCAAAAGGGGAACCAAUUGCUGUCAGAACAUUUGCCUAUCUAAAGCAUGUGUUCAUUCCUGAAGCAAGCUAUGGUAGGUAUUUUUGUUGGUACAGGCAUUGGCCCCAUUUUACUGUGGCUGGCUGGUCAGUAACUGGUGACAGAAAAUAUUAAUUGAAAUGCUCACCCCAAAUCUCUCCUCUUCAGGAGACAAAUCAUGAUUGAUUUAUUGAUCACAAGGAUUAAAAGUUGUCUAGAUUGAAAUGAAAUCCCUGGAAAGGAAAUUAAAAAAAAUAAAUUAAACUAACAUCUGCUUAAUCGUGUGUGCCAGAAUUAAUACAUUCUCUGCGUAUGUGACAAUUAUGUCUGCAUGUACGUGCACAUGGUUUAUGGAAGGAAGAUGCUCAGUGUUUUCUGCAGUGUAAAAAGAGGCUUCAACGUUUGUACUGCAUCCAAAACAACUUUCUUGGAUUUUAUUUGCUUUAAACACAAGAGUAUUUAUACAUUGACAUGAAAAACUAAGAAAUCAAUAUAAUUGUUCACCCCCUUUUAUGCAUCACUUUUAAGUCCCUCCUUAUUAUAUAUAUAUAUAU